This 320-nucleotide ribosomal RNA is filed under the name uncultured eukaryote. RNAcentral describes it as "partial 18S ribosomal RNA". It matches the Rfam family "Eukaryotic small subunit ribosomal RNA", at positions 1470 to 1796 of the family's 1831-position model. The record is from RNAcentral.
CCCUUAGAUGUUCUGGGCGGCCCGCGCACUACAAUGGCGUGUGCAGCGAGUGCCGAAGUAGAGUUUUCCGAGGUAUUCUUGCAAUGCUCGUUUUGAUGGGGAUAGACCCUUGCAACUGUUGGUUUUGAACGAGGAAUUCCUUGUAAGCAUGGUUUAUCAUCCGACGCUGAAUGCGUCCCUGCCCUUUGUACACACCGCCCGUCGCUCCUACCGAUUGAAUGCUCAGGUGAGCCAUUCGGACUUUCAUCAUGCUGGUUUCCAGUUUUGAUGAAGGAAAGUCUUGCGAACCUUAUCAUUUAGAGGAAGGAGAAGUCGUAACA